GUUACAUGGAGGGGGACAUCGAACAACCUUACCUCGAGGAAUUGCACACAAACAUCUUACAAAUGUACAUCUAAAAUUUACAUUUAAAAAUGAAAAUUUGAGACUCUCCAUUUAACCAGUCUAAUAAGCCUUUAGAUGUUCUAUUGAAGUCCCUAGCUUGUAUCAUCUUGAAGGAUUUCUUUUUUUACCCAUUAUUUGCAAGCCAAUCAGCUACUUUGUUCCCUUCUCCCCAGAUGUGGGACUAUGAAACUUACUUUUCCAGUAUUGAAGCUCCACCAUCCUGUAUUGAAUACACCACAGACCAGCUGCAAAGUUGUUGACCAGCUACAAAGUUCUUGAAUCCAUCAAACACUAUGAUUUUGUGAAACAGUAGAGUAUUUCAUCGCAAUCCUACCAUGCCUUGAUGGCAGCUUAGAUGUUGUUUUAACUAUUAAUACAGUUAGCUAACAAAUUUGUUCCCAUAAAUAAAGCCCUGAAGCAGAGAUAUAAGUAGAAAUCCGCAUAAAUCUUCAUGGCUACCAAUAAUCAUGAAUUACUACGAUUGCUACUUAUAAAAGUAAUCCACCGUUGUUUCGCAUUUUGGAUUUGAGAUAGCAAUAUAACUGCUGUUUGAAUGCUUUUAUUUCUAACAUAUUCAAUUUCUUUAUUUGUUUAUUUUAUUUAGUGAAAUAGUCCCAAGUACUGGAUAUCCUUUGAAAAUUGUUUGCCAUGAUCUGUGUUUCAUCUGUGGCCUCCUUUUCCUGUUCAAGUUGUUGCAUGUUUUACUAAGCUUAAAAAUAAGUAAAGUUUACGUUUUAUUUCCAAAGACGUUUAUAUGAACUACUUUUUUUUCCCCCUAGAGAAAAUAUUUUCUCGUUCAAGUAACUCAUACUUUAUCGCAAAAUAAACGUGUACUCUUUUUUUUCAAGCUCUAUUAUAACAUUAAAAUUUUCAGGGAGGAGUUUGACGAGGAGAAGGAACCUGAUGGAAUGAUUCUCUCAGGAUGGAUACCUCCUCUUGCAGCAGAAAAGAAUGGCAAGACAGCUGUUGACAAUGAAGUGAGCACAUCCAGUGCAUCUGAAGCUGUUCCCUUAUUGACUGAAGAUGACGACGAUUUGCGUAUCAUUCCAACAAUAACCGGGAAGAAAAGAAAGCUAUCGGACGUUUCCAGCGAGAGGAAGAAUAAAAGAAAAGCAGAAGAACCCAAUAGUAAGAACGAUGUUGUCAUGCUUGAUGAUGAUAAAUUCUGAUAUGAGCAAAGAAGAAGAGGGAGCAAUAGCUAGGUUUUUCCUUAAUUUUUAUUCCAUUAGAAUAUUUCACCCUAACUUUGUACACAACCGAGGAAGGUGAUUCUAGUAUUUAAAAGAAAAAUGAAACGUCAGGCAUGUUUUUGUUUAGAUAACUUAAAUUUUUUUUAUUUAAGGUGUAAUUUAUUCUAACUUUUAAUGGAUUGUGAGGAUCUGAGCAUUGUAACUUUUGGUAGCAGGAUUUUCUCAUGUUUGUGUACAAAAAUAUUGGCUGUUGGGGAUAAAAGUAUGGUUUGUGUUGGCAGUUGCAUCGUUA
This 1542-nucleotide long non-coding RNA is filed under the name Olea europaea subsp. europaea. The record is from RNAcentral. Lineage: Eukaryota; Viridiplantae; Streptophyta; Magnoliopsida; Lamiales; Oleaceae.